RNAcentral lists this ribosomal RNA (266 nucleotides) under Escherichia coli. RNAcentral's name for it is "partial 23S ribosomal RNA". It matches the Rfam family "Bacterial large subunit ribosomal RNA", at positions 323 to 591 of the family's 2925-position model. The record is from RNAcentral. Lineage: Bacteria; Pseudomonadati; Pseudomonadota; Gammaproteobacteria; Enterobacterales; Enterobacteriaceae.
UGUGUGUUAGUGGAAGCGUCUGGAAAGGCGCGCGAUACAGGGUGACAGCCCCGUACACAAAAAUGCACAUGCUGUGAGCUCGAUGAGUAGGGCGGGACACGUGGUAUCCUGUCUGAAUAUGGGGGGACCAUCCUCCAAGGCUAAAUACUCCUGACUGACCGAUAGUGAACCAGUACCGUGAGGGAAAGGCGAAAAGAACCCCGGCGAGGGGAGUGAAAAAGAACCUGAAACCGUGUACGUACAAGCAGUGGGAGCACGCUUAGGCG